RNAcentral lists this ribosomal RNA (453 nucleotides) under uncultured organism. RNAcentral describes it as "partial 16S ribosomal RNA". It matches the Rfam family "Bacterial small subunit ribosomal RNA", at positions 332 to 801 of the family's 1533-position model. The record is from RNAcentral.
UACACUCCUGCGGGAGGCAGCAGUGGGAAAUAUUGGACAAUGGGCGCAAGCCUGAUCCAGCCAUGCCGCGUGAGUGAUGAAGGCCCUAGGGUUGUAAAGCUCUUUCACCGGUGAAGAUAAUGACGGUAACCGGAGAAGAAGCCCCGGCUAACUUCGUGCCAGCAGCCGCGGUAAUACGAAGGGGGCUAGCGUUGUUCGGAUUUACUGGGCGUAAAGCGCACGUAGGCGGACUAUUAAGUCAGGGGUGAAAUCCCGGGGCUCAACCCCGGAACUGCCUUUGAUACUGGUAGUCUUGAGUUCGAGAGAGGUGAGUGGAAUUCCGAGUGUAGAGGUGAAAUUCGUAGAUAUUCGGAGGAACACCAGUGGCGAAGGCGGCUCACUGGCUCGAUACUGACGCUGAGGUGCGAAAGCGUGGGGAGCAAACAGGAUUAGAUACCCUAGUAGUCCCAUGAU